CCGGUUGAUCCUGCCAGAGGUCACUGCUAUCGGGGUUCGAUUAAGCCAUGCGAGUCGAGAGGGUUCGGCCCUCGGCGUACUACUCAGUAACACGUGGAUAACCUGCCCUAAGGAAGGGGAUAACCUCGGGAAACUGAGGAUAAUACCCUAUAGGUUACAGACGCUGGAAUGCCCUGUAACCGAAAGUUCCGGCGCCUUAGGAUGGAUCUGCGGCCGAUUAGGUUGUUGUUGGGGUAACGGCCCAACAAGCCGAUAAUCGGUACGGGUUGUGGGAGCAAGAGCCCGGAGUUGGAUUCUGAGACAUGAAUCCAGGCCCUACGGGGCGCAGCAGGCGCGAAAACUUUACAAUGCGGGAAACCGUGAUAAGGGAACUCCGAGUGCCUGUAUAUGCAGGCUGUCCAGGUGUCUAAAAAACACCUGAAGAAAGGGCCGGGCAAGACCGGUGCCAGCCGCCGCGGUAAUACCGGCGGCUCGAGUGGUGGCCACUUUUAUUGGGCUUAAAGCGUUCGUAGCUGGGUUGUUAAGUCUCUUGGGAAAUCUGACGGCUCAACCGUCAGGCGUCCAAGGGAUACUGGCAAUCUUGGAACCGGGAGAGGUGAGGGGUACUUCGGGGGUUAGGAGUGAAAUCCUGUAAUCCUCGAGGGACCACCUGUGGCGAAGGCGCCUCACCAGAACGGCUUCGACAGA
This 687-nucleotide ribosomal RNA is filed under the name unidentified archaeon. Its description in RNAcentral is "bacterial SSU rRNA". It matches the Rfam family "Archaeal small subunit ribosomal RNA", at positions 4 to 698 of the family's 1478-position model. The record is from RNAcentral.